Molecule: transfer RNA, 72 nt
Filed under: Ameiurus melas (black bullhead)
Lineage: Eukaryota; Metazoa; Chordata; Actinopteri; Siluriformes; Ictaluridae
Rfam family: tRNA
About the family: Transfer RNA (tRNA) molecules are approximately 80 nucleotides in length. Their secondary structure includes four short double-helical elements and three loops (D, anti-codon, and T loops).
Source: Rfam by way of RNAcentral
GACCUCGUGGUGCAAUGGUAGCAUGUCCGACUUCAGAUCAGAAGAUUGCGUGUUCAAAUCUCGUCGUGGUCG